Molecule: ribosomal RNA, 248 nt
Filed under: uncultured bacterium
Lineage: Bacteria
Description: partial 16S ribosomal RNA
Rfam family: Bacterial small subunit ribosomal RNA
Source: RNAcentral
AGAUGGCGACCGGCGCACGGGUGAGUAACACGUAUCCAACCUGCCGAUAACUCGGGGAUAGCCUUUCGAAAGAAAGAUUAAUACCCGAUGGCAUAAUUAGACCGCAUGGUCUUAUUAUUUAAAGAAUUUCGGUUAUCGAUGGGGAUGCGUUCCAUUAGGCAGUUGGUGAGGUAACGGCUCACCAAACCUUCGAUGGAUAGGGGUUCUGAGAGGAAGGUCCCCCACAUUGGAACUGAGACACGGUCCAA